Molecule: ribosomal RNA, 475 nt
Filed under: uncultured bacterium
Lineage: Bacteria
Description: bacterial SSU rRNA
Rfam family: Bacterial small subunit ribosomal RNA
Source: RNAcentral
GGACGAACGCUGGCGGCGUGCUUAACACAUGCAAGUCGAACGGAAAGGCCCUUCGGGGUACUCGAGUGGCGAACGGGUGAGUAACACGUGGGUGAUCUGCCCUGCACUUCGGGAUAAGCCUGGGAAACUGGGUCUAAUACCGGAUAUGACCUUGGGAUGCAUGUCCUUUGGUGGAAAGCUUUUGCGGUGUGGGAUGGGCCCGCGGCCUAUCAGCUUGUUGGUGGGGUUAAGGCCUACCAAGGCGACGACGGGUAGCCGGCCUGAGAGGGUGACCGGCCACACUGGGACUGAGAUACGGCCCAGACUCCUACGGGAGGCAGCAGUGGGGAAUAUUGCACAAUGGGCGCAAGCCUGAUGCAGCCGACGCCGCGUGAGGGACGACGGCCUUCGGGUUGUAAACCUCUUUCAGCACAGACGAAGCGCAAGUGACGGUAUGUGCAGAAGAAGGACCGGCCAACUACGUGCCAGCAGCAGC